AUAUUUACGAGGAAAAGUAGCUGCCUUAUAGCCUAUCCAACAGAAUCUUCAACCAUGGCCUCCUCACUGUCGCUAUCUGUAUCAUUCGCCUCACUGCCUUCCUCAGUCUCCGCAUCAGACAUCAGAUCAUCUUUUCCAACACCACUUCCUGGGAGUUGCUUUCUGAAAUCUGGAUCAACAAUUUCGAUCAUAGCAUUAAGAACACGAUGAUGAUCGGUUAUUUUACUGAUGACAUGAUCAAUAUUACUCUGGCUCCCAGCAGCCUGUCCAUCAGAGUUCACUAAAGCAUCAGCUGCUGAGCUCCCUCUGACAUUUUCAUCCUGCUCCCCGGCAUGGUCUGUAGUCUCCCCCAAGCUCCUAGGAGACUCAUUCUCCCCAUUGACAGAUGGACCUGUUUCCACUGCCCAGCUACCAGCAACUUCUGAGGCCAACAAAUCAGCUGUACCAAUGGUUCUGGUCUGGGUAUCCUCGUGUUUUCUCUCAGAACAGUUAACCUCAAGUUUUUCUUCAGAAUAGUGACCAAUGCCAUCUUUGAGGGUUAACGAGGCUUCCUCAUUUCCUUGUGGUUGCCCUCUAUCUUUGCAAAUCAAGAUGGACUCAUCAUUCUCUUGUGGUUGCACUUCAUCAUCUAGCUGCAUGGUAUCACCUCCCAUUUCACUAAAUCUUUGAAGAGCUGAAUUGUGAUCACCACAGCCAACAUUACCAGCUUGGCUUUCUGUCUCGGGAACUUGCUCAGUAUCUGUUGGCUCUAGCUCAGGAGCUGUAGCAGCCAGAUCACCAUGAGAAUCAGACCUGAAUCUCUCUGUUGCCAUUUCUGGACUAUUGCACUCUACCUCUUGAGUGUUUGCCCCUUCAACUCUGGUAAAAUCAUCCUGUUGUUCAGUCUCCUUGGAAUCAUCACUUGAACUUUGUUCACUUGCCUGGGUAUUCUCUGUUGAAGCACCAGAAGCUUCCAUUGUAUUUUUUGAGUAGUUUACUCUCGUGCGGGCAUCGUCAGCAGUUACAGUUGCCAGUGGCACUUUAUUGAGAUCAUCACCCAUGAUACUGUUCUCAUAAUUCUCUUCAUCCUCCAGAGUUCUCUGCAUUGCUUUAAGCUGUUCCUGCUGUUUUGCAAACAGAGAAGAUAUUUCCUCUGUAGUUGAAUAGAAAGCACGCAGCUGAGUCUCCCGUAAAAUAAUUCUCUCUCUUGCUCCUUGAUACCUCUGUUUCUCGAUUGAUAGAUCUCUAAUUGUAGCAGCUAUUUCAAGCUCAAGAGCUGAGACCUUUGCCCAUGCUUC
RNAcentral lists this small RNA (1277 nucleotides) under Oryza sativa Japonica Group (Japanese rice). RNAcentral describes it as "sRNA Os03g0127650". The record is from RNAcentral. Lineage: Eukaryota; Viridiplantae; Streptophyta; Magnoliopsida; Poales; Poaceae.